Molecule: ribosomal RNA, 97 nt
Organism: Streptomyces rubellomurinus
Lineage: Bacteria; Bacillati; Actinomycetota; Actinomycetes; Kitasatosporales; Streptomycetaceae
Source: Rfam
UUCGGUGGUCAUAGCGUGAGGGAAACGCCCGGUUACAUUCCGAACCCGGAAGCUAAGCCUCACAGCGCCGAUGGUACUGCAGGGGGGACCCUGUGGG